CCUGGAGGGGAAUGGAAACAUUAUUUCAAAGUUAUUUCACAGUUGGUUAUCUGAGAGAGAUCCUAUUUGGGCCCCCUAACAAGUCAGAGAGCAGAGUAUUCUAUGUAUGGAAGAGCAGAUCAGUCCUGAGUCACAUGUACUGGACAUUUAUCUAGUCUCUCAAAUGUGGGAUUUGUUCAGCGAUAUUACAUUCUUUCUUGUAACAAAGCUACAGUUAUGAUUUGGCCAUGAGGUCAACAAAGCUACAGUAAUGAUAUGGACAUGAGGUAAACAAAGCUACAGUAAUAAUAUGGACAUGAGGUAAACAAAGCUACAAUAAUUAUAUGGCAAUGAGAUCAACAAAGCUACGGUAAUGAUACAGACAUGAGGUAAACAAAGCUACAGUAAUUAUGUGGCAAUGAGAUCAACAAAGCUACAGUAAUUAUAUGGCAAUGAGAUCAACAAAGCUACAGUAAUGAUCUAGCCAUGAGGUCAACAAACCUAAAGUAAUGAUAUGGACAUGAGGUCAACAAAGCUACAGUAAUGAUAUGGACAUGAGGUCAACAAAGCUACAGUAAUGAUAUGGCAAUGAGGUCAACAAAGCUACAGUAAUGAUAUGGACAUGAGGUCAACAAAGCUACAGUAAUGAUAUGGCAAUGAGGUCAACAAAGCUACAGUAAUGAUAUGGACAUGAGGUCAACAAAGCUACAGUAAUGAUAUGGCAAUGAGGUCAACAAAGCUACAGUAAUGAUAUGGCAAUGAGGUCAACAAAGCUACAGUAAUGAUAUGGCAAUGAGGUCAACAAAGCUACAGUAAUGAUAUGGCAAUGAGGUCAACAAAGCUACAGUAAUGAUAUAGCCAUGAGGUCAACAAAGCUACAAUAAUGAUAUGGACAUGAGGUAAACAAAGCUACAAUAAUGAUAUGGACAUGAGGUAAACAAAGCUACAAUAAUGAUAUGGACAUGAGGUCAACAAAGCUACAGUAAUGAUAUGGCAAUGAGGUCAACAAAGCUACAGUAAUGAUAUGGCAAUGAGGUCAACAAAGCUACAGUAAUGAUAUAGCCAUGAGGUCAACAAAGCUACAGUAAUGAUAUGGACAUGAGGUCAACAAAGCUACAGUAAUGAUAUGGCAAUGAGGUCAACAAAGCUACAGUAAUGAUAUGGCAAUGAGGUCAACAAAGCUACAGUAAUGAUAUGGACAUGAGGUAAACAAAGCUACAGUAAUGAUAUGGCAAUGAGGUCAACAAAGCUACAGUAAUGAUAUAGCCAUGAGGUCAACAAAACUACAGUAAUAGUUUAUCAAAAACAGUGACAUUAGUCGCUUGUAAAAGACUGAUAACCUGCCAGCUCACACAAUAUUUGGUUCUGGUUUCCGAGAUUACAGUGAA
This is a long non-coding RNA of Oncorhynchus keta (chum salmon), 1367 nucleotides long. RefSeq lists it as uncharacterized. The record is from RefSeq and is a predicted model, not a curated record. The transcript is spliced from 4 exons. NCBI's taxonomy places the organism in Eukaryota, Metazoa, Chordata, Actinopteri, Salmoniformes, Salmonidae.